Molecule: long non-coding RNA, 474 nt
Filed under: Homo sapiens (human)
Lineage: Eukaryota; Metazoa; Chordata; Mammalia; Primates; Hominidae
Description: HSALNT0320165
Source: RNAcentral
UAUUUUGGCCAGGAGCUGAAGUUGGUUGUUUAGUAGUAGUAGUUUGAGUAGUGACCGAAGUAGUAGUCUGGUGUGUGGGUGCAAGAGUAGUUGGGGAAGAAUUAGGUGUGGUAAUUGGGGCAGCUGUGGUCUCUUGUGGAGCUGGGGAAGACGGUGGAGCUGGUGUAGUUGCAGAAGGUGUGGGUGGGGCAGCUGUGGUCUCUGGUGGAGCUGAGGAAGAUGGUGGAGCUGGUGUAGUUGCAGAAGGUGUGGGUGGGGCAGCUGUGGUGUCUUGUGGAGCUGGGGAAUUCACUGGUGCUAAUGUAGCUACAGAAGAGCUUGUGUUAACAUUUUCUCUUGAAGAUAUGGUGGUGGCAUUCUGGGGAAGAAAAGUCACAUUUGGAAGGGUAGUAAUUUUGGUGGCUGGUGAGGAUUUGGGAAUUUGGGGGGGUUAUUAGGUGAAGGUGGAAGCUUAGGCCUACAGCGUUUGUGCAG